Small nuclear RNA from Callithrix jacchus (white-tufted-ear marmoset), 104 nucleotides. The record is from Ensembl. Lineage: Eukaryota; Metazoa; Chordata; Mammalia; Primates; Cebidae.
GUGCUCACUGUGGCAGCACAUAUAUGAAAAUUGGAACGCUACAGAGAUUAGUAUGGCCCCUGCGCAAGGAUCACGUGCAAAUGCAUGAAGUGUACUUUUUCUUU